Nomascus leucogenys (northern white-cheeked gibbon) is the source of this 595-nucleotide long non-coding RNA. RefSeq lists it as uncharacterized. NCBI's taxonomy places the organism in Eukaryota, Metazoa, Chordata, Mammalia, Primates, Hylobatidae. The transcript has 2 exons. The record is from RefSeq and is a predicted model, not a curated record.
AGAUGAAAUCUUGCUCUGUUGCUCAGGCUGGAGUGCAGUGGUGUGAAAUUGGCUCACUGCAACCUCACCUCUCAGGUUCAAGCGAUUCUGCCUCAGCCUCUCGAGUAGCUGGGACCACAGGUGGGAGACCUCCACAGAACCCUUCCAGCGAGCUGUCUUCUAAAGCAAACAAGCAAAGGAAAGUCUGAGCAGUUUUGAUUAGAUUUCCCAGAAGUCGAAGAGGGGAAAAAUGAAAAAGCUUCAUUUCUCACGUUCUUAAAAGAGAGCACAGAUGUUGCAUCGUCUGGUUAGAUACCCUGAGAAUAAAAUCUGGAUCCAGUGAGAGGAGAGAUUCUGGGUGCUCAUGAAAAAAGAAACAAAACAAAACUUGGGAGCCUCUUGAGAGUGUACAGAAUCAGCCCUUGCCAACUCUUGUUUAUAUGCACUUAACUUUCAGUUAACCAUGGGAAUAAUUCAUGAAAAUCCAAUCUACAAACAAACGCCAUCCCAACGUUCAUGUUAUUGUUUUCCCAAGAAUCUUUCACAAGAGCUAUGAUCAAGUAGAAUUAUGCUUUGAUUUGAAUUUUAAUUCAAUUGAAAAUAAAAAAUGAGGGCC